AGUGAACGCUGGCGGUAGGCCUAACACAUGCAAGUCGAACGGCAGCACAGUAAGAGCUUGCUCUUACGGGUGGCGAGUGGCGGACGGGUGAGGAAUACAUCGGAAUCUACUUUUUCGUGGGGGAUAGCGUAGGGAAACUUACGCUAAUACCGCAUACGACCUACGGGUGAAAGCAGGGGAUCUUCGGACCUUGCGCGAUUGAAUGAGCCGAUGUCGGAUUAGCUAGUUGGCGGGGUAAAGGCCCACCAAGGCGACGAUCCGUAACUGGUCUGAGAGGAUGAUCAGCCACACUGGAACUGAGACACGGUCCAGACUCCUACGGGAGGCAGCAGUGGGGAAUAUUGGACAAUGGGCGCAAGCCUGAUCCAGCCAUACCGCGUGGGUGAAGAAGGCCUUCGGGUUGUAAAGCCCUUUUGUUGGGAAAGAAAAGCAGCAGGUUAAUACCCCGCUGUUCUGACGGUACCCAAAGAAUAAGCACCGGCUAACUUCGUG
This 492-nucleotide ribosomal RNA is filed under the name uncultured bacterium. Its description in RNAcentral is "partial 16S ribosomal RNA". It matches the Rfam family "Bacterial small subunit ribosomal RNA", at positions 29 to 507 of the family's 1533-position model. The record is from RNAcentral.